Lepisosteus oculatus (spotted gar) is the source of this 206-nucleotide non-coding RNA. The record is from RefSeq and is a predicted model, not a curated record. Lineage: Eukaryota; Metazoa; Chordata; Actinopteri; Semionotiformes; Lepisosteidae.
AAUGGGUUGUUCUGCAGAGCGCUUGUCAAUACAGACGGACUGAAGCGAAGAUCAGCAACACAGACUUGACUUUGCCGCUGGAAGACAACCUCAGGCGCAAACAUGAUGUGUGACGUCGAGUUCGACUUAUCCUUGGCUUUAGAAAGUGAUCCCGACAUGACGGAAGUAGACUGCCCUCUACCGGCCAAGGUGAGGCGCUGCAUGUU